RNAcentral lists this ribosomal RNA (522 nucleotides) under uncultured fungus. Its description in RNAcentral is "SSU rRNA". It matches the Rfam family "Eukaryotic small subunit ribosomal RNA", at positions 569 to 1092 of the family's 1831-position model. Lineage: Eukaryota; Fungi. The record is from RNAcentral.
AGCAGCCGCGGUAAUUCCAGCUCCAAUAGCGUAUAUUAAAGUUGUUGCAGUUAAAAAGCUCGUAGUUGAAUUUCGGGAUCAAUAUAUCGGUCGUGCCUCUGGUUCGUACUGGUAUCAUUGAUUUCUCCUUUCUGACGAACCAUGAUUUCAUUUAUUUGGUGUCAUGGGGAGUUAGGACUGUUACUUUGAAAAAAUUAGAGUGUUUAAAGCAGGCAUUAGCUUGAAUACAUUAGCAUGGAAUAAUGAAAUAGGACGUUUGACCCUAUUUUGUUGGUUUCUAGGAUCGACGUAAUGAUUAAUAGGGAUAGUUGGGGGCAUUAGUAUUCAAUUGUCAGAGGUGAAAUUCUUGGAUUUAUUGAAGACUAACUACUGCGAAAGCAUUUGCCAAGGAUGUUUUCAUUAAUCAAGAACGAAAGUUAGGGGAUCGAAGACGAUCAGAUACCGUCGUAGUCUUAACCAUAAACUAUGCCGACUAGGGAUCGGAUGAUGUUAAUUUUAUAAUGACUCAUUCGGCGCCUUACG